This is an RNA transcript of Vespula vulgaris, 10212 nucleotides long. RefSeq lists it as uncharacterized. The record is from RefSeq and is a predicted model, not a curated record. The transcript is spliced from 24 exons. Lineage: Eukaryota; Metazoa; Arthropoda; Insecta; Hymenoptera; Vespidae.
AGAAAGGAGAAAGCUUAAGUUCACUUACAAGAAGCGAUCCCUCUGAUAUACGAGCAGAAUUUCUUUUGGUUAUGCAAUCGCAUUUCGUGUGUACUACUUUUAUACGAAGUUCGUGUCGUGAGAUUUGACGAUAAACUUGGCAAGUUUCCCCGUUCGGUGCUUGCUUGGCCGCUUUUUAAAAGUACCGCUCUAAGAGAGAGAGAGAGAGAGAGAGAGAGAGAGAGAGAGAGAGAGAGAGAGAGAGAGAGAGGACGAUGAUAAGUUCGUAAUAACUAAUAACGAACCGAUUCUAAUCCGAACAUCCCCCUGUUGCUUUUGAAUAUAAAUUAGUAUAACGCGAAUAAAGAUUGGAGAACAAAUUCUAAUCAAUUCUAUCUCUUCUUAUCUGCUACAAAUAUGAACAGCAUAAACAUAGACUACCGCGCGUGUACACGUGACAUUAAAAUAUCGUAAGAAUCGCUCGAUAAACGCGUUCAUAUCGAGGGUAAUAAGGUAAGUCACCUUCCGUCACUUGUAUUUUCCUAACACGUGAAUGAAGAACGUCGUCUCAUUUGAAAAAUAAGAAACGUACGACGAUAGCGAAUAAGAAACAUCAUGGCGGAAUAAAAGCCAAGAAAAUUAUAGAAUCGCUAAUAGGUUUUAUCGUUAGAAUGCGGUCAUUCGAUUAUGUAGAAUGUGAUAAGAUCGCUUUAAAAGCUAAAUGGAAAAUGAAAAGACAAUGAAAAGAAACAAAGAAAAUAAGAUAUUUUUAAUGAAGACAGUACGUCACGCAUAAAUGAUAUGUAUUCACAGGAUAGGAAGUUGGUAAAAGAGCUUUAAGAGCUUAGAGCGAGAGAGAGAGAGAGAGAGAGAGAGAGAGAAAGAGAGAAAGAGAGAAAGAGAAAAAAGAAUAGAAUGAAGAGCCGACGAUUUCAACGAGAGAACGAAACGUAAGUAUCCGAGUUCGUGUGCUCCUUCGGCUCGACAUCUAUGACAGGAUCGACGAGCUCGGAGGGCCUGCGGCCCCAGGAAACCUCACCUAUUCCUACGAGAAAUACAUUGUUUUCUCACGAUUCUUUCGUCGAGGGACGAGAUCAGCAUCAUCAGCCACGUCGGAAAAUGACUCCGUUACCACCGAGCGGUACGCCGAUACAGCUAACUCCUCUUUGGGAACACGUGGUUCGUAUUAGAUACGUUUCGGUCGAAUUAAUUCAUUUUGUUGCUAAACGAAAUCGGUCGGUCGUUAGAAAAAUAAGUAGGAUGAUCGAACAGGUUCGUACGAGAAGAUUUCCAUCGGAGAUCGAUACACGAUUGAUAUUCGUCGAGAUAUCGGAAAGAUUGCGAGAUCCAGAAUGGGAAGUACGGCAACACGCUCUUCGCGUUCUUAUGGACGUGAUGCCGACUCUGUCCGGCGAAAUCGUGGACGAGGUAAUGCAACCGGUGGUACCAGAACUGUUAAAUAAUUUAGGUCAUGCAGCACCAGCCGUUCGUAAGGGCGCCUUGGACGCUUUGAGAGUAUACCUCGUACAUAGUCUCGACAGAGAAAGGAUCGUGAAAAAUAUAUUUCGGGAUGGUUUUAACCGACGAGACGUUCAGGACGUGUUUCAAACUAAUCUGAUCACAGGAGUGAUCCUCAGUGCACCAUCCUUGCUAUUCCCAUCGUCGAGUGGUUCUCGUCCUAGCAAGGACAUCGUCAAAUACGUCACCUUCUCUUUGGCCUCUCGUUUGACCCAGGUCGCCUAUCAGGAAGCUAUUCUAAAGUCGUUGAUGAAGAUUCGCGAGACUAUAGGCGCGGGAGAAUUCGACGACAUCAUUUCUGGUUGCGACGGUGAACUGAAAAAACAUUUGGAAGUUCUCUGCAAGGUUUACAACGUUAAACCGAGCAAGAAGAGCCAAACGAAGAUAUCGUCGGAUAGGAAGGAAGUUAACAAAUUAGACGAGGUUGGGCCUACUCGUGAAAAAAUUUGGGAUAGCGACAGUGAUACGUCAGGGAUUGCCGAAGAAGAAGAUGAAAUUGUUAAUGGACAGAUGCCACCGGCUCGAGUGGUUUUGGAAACGGAAAUAAAGUUCAACGAAGAGACAGCCAUCACUAUGACCAUUCUCGAAGAAAAAGCUACGAACAGCGAAGAGGACGAGGAGGGCGAAGAAAGUGGCACCGACGUAAGAAACGAAACUGAAAUAACGAGCGAACGUAACGAUACAAGAAAAAAAACCCCUAGACGUGUACAUUUUGGUGGUGAAAUCGUUAAAUUAAGGACACCCGAUAGCGACGAUACCGAAUCGGUUGUCGUAGCUUCCUCGAAAACUAGGAUACCCCUUCCAGUCUCGCCAGCCACAAAGAUGCCAUUGGAACGGUCACGUCGAAGAUCUAUAUCGCAGCCCAACAGUCCUCAUUUCGCUAGACGCAAUACCAGUAGAAUGUCCAGAUCACUUUCCAGUAGUCCUAAGAGAGAAAUUUAUACACAUAAUGCUGAUCUCAGUCCGAAAAAGGGUAUUCUUACGAGAACGAGCAGUCCUCUUUUCGUUAUCGAACCGAUCGAUCGUCAGCUUGAUGAUAAGAGAGAUAAACGUAACGAUAAGUCCGCAGAAAUGUCGACUCGAUCGGGAUCACCAAAAUUAAAAAACGACGACGACUCGAGUCGAUCUCCGCUUCGAGUUAAUUCCAUCGAAGAAAAUUUCGUUAUCGAAAAGUUGUCCGACGAUAUUAAGAAGCAAAACGAUCAUCGAAAGGAUAAGGAAGAUUCGAAGAACGUUAAGGAAGAUAAACCAUUGUUUCGAUCGUUCAGCGUUCCAUCCAUUAGAUCGAUAGAAAGUAAUUACGAAUCGAAAGAUUCGGAGAGAAUAAAAGCUCUCAAAGAACAAGAAAGAAAGAAAUCUUUUUCGAAUAAUGUCGAAGAACUUUCUUCGAUAAACAAUCAAGCUAAUCUUACCCUAUAUCACGAAAGUGCUAACGAUACGAAAGCAUUUUCAUCGAUAUUUGAUACGAAAGUCAAUAAUAGAGCUGUCUCGAUAGAAUCGAAUCAUGAGAAUCUUGACGAUGUUGAACGAUCGCUUGACGUUACUUCGAAAAUCGAUGAAAAGAUAAAGGAUAACGUUGCCGUAGGCACUACGUCAGGAUUAAAAUCGAACGAACGUGAAUCGACUAAUGCCUUACGAAAGAUUCACAGUUCGAAAACUUUCAAACGAGAACGUGAUUCACGUUCGCCAACAAAGAUUGUUGAUUCCGAGAAUAUAGUGACUUCACGUAAAUAUAAUGAACCUGAGGAAAUACGAAGAACUAAAACGAGUCAUGCAGUGGAAAACGGAAACUUGACGCGUGCAGUGGGCGACAACAAGAAAGAAAGUAAAUCACAGGAACCAAGUUGGGAAGAAUUGGGAUUGGUUAAUCGUGACGUUUUGGAUGACCUACAUAACAAGGAGGAUUGGCGUGCUCGCGUAAGAGGUCUCGAAAGAGUAGCAUCGGCAUUACGGACACCCUCAGCUCUAAUCGCGAUAGAGUCGCGAUUAGGAUCACUUUUGCAUGCUGUACUUGGCGGCGAAAGGAGCUGCCGCGUAGCGGCUGCUGGUUUAGCAGUUGCAAAGAUCGUCGUUGCUGGUGUCACCGAAAAUGCGCUAAAACGAAAAUUGCCUCAACUCGCUUGGGGCCUGGCAAGACAAGGUGGUCCUAGUGCUGCUCAACUUGCGAGAAUUGCUAUGCUCAGAUUAAAACCUGCUUAUCUCUUGGAACAAUUUUUGCAACCUCAAUGUCUCGGGGCUAGAAAUGCUAAGACGAGAGAGAACGCAUUGCAGUUGUUGAUCUUCUCUUUCGUCACUUUUCCCAGUACGGAGUUUAAAGUCGAGACGGUGGCACAUAAGGUUGCUCUUAUGGUGGGUGAUCGACGUCGUAGGGUACGACAAGCUGCUCUCGAUGCUUUGGCUGUUUUGGCACAGAUUUACGAACCCGAGGAGGUUCUACGAGCAGGGAAAAGAGCAUCGGCCAGUAGGCACGACGGUGAGGCCAUGUUUUCAGCUAUAAGAUCUCGUCUAGCUAGAAAAUCAUUGCCUUUGGUCUCUGCCGACGGUUUGGUCGUCUAUGGUCUACAAAUUUCACCGACCGUUCAAAUUGCUACCGGUAAUCGACCUGACGUUGAUUGGAUCGUAGCCGGAAGUGGUUCGGUUUCACCUGGUACAGGACGUAGCAAACGUCAAAUCGCAACGGCCAAACCCGAUAGAGGAAAUUUUUUGAGAAAUAGGAAUGCAAAAAAGUAUGGCAGUCCAUGGACAAACAGACAAAAUUUGUUUGCACGUGGUAUCGCUUUACGUCCCACGAACGAGAAACCUGUAGUAUGGCAAAUAUUGCCUCAAAAUCAGUCGCGGUUUCAUACGAAGAAAAAUCUCUUUUGGAAAGUUCACUUAGAGAAAAAGGACGAUACUUUCUCGUGCUCAAACGAAGUUCAAGGAUUGGAAGGACGAAUCGACGAUAUCGUUAACGACAAUGAUGGUCAUCCACGUGCGAGUCGAGACAAUCAGAAUACGAAUGCAUCGAGCAAGGGAACGCCUAUAAAUUUAAAUCGUCGAGAAACGGCACAAAUCAACAAUCUCGAUGAUAAUGGGAACGUUAGAUCGAUCGCGAAAGAAAACUUGAAUUUCCAAGAUGACCGUGCAUGUCGACCAUUGUCUCAAGAAAGUUCUGCCAUUAAACUGGAAUCCAAAAUUCCGAUAUUUUUCUCCCGAGGAAUGACCAGUACAAAGAUAAACGAUCAAGCUUCUAAUCUUUCGUCCGAUCAUAGUUAUGAUCAAGUAAACGUUAAGUUAAGAAAAAAGAUAGUUUACAAUUCGGAUAACAAAAAUAGCGCUUUUAAAGCGCGGAGUAAAAAUAUAGGAUUAGAGACGACGUAUCAACGACGAAAACGUCUUCAACAAGAUGCCACCUCUCCUAUUAGUUUAUUGGAUAACCAAGUAACGAAUCGAACUUCUGAUUCGCGUAGUAAUACCUAUCGACCUUUAUCGUGUACAAUAAAUUCCAAGUAUACCGAGGAGAGUCAAGAAAACAUAUCGGACGAACAAAAUGUUAUGUCGAAAGUCGUUUCUCAAGAGCAUCCUCCUGAAGUAUUAGUCAACAAAAGAUAUUCAAGAAGUUCUGAUGGUCAUUUGAGAUUUCCAAGAACGAGUUCCGUGGAACGUCCACAUCCAAUAUCUGAAACUGAUCAACAAUCAAAAUUACCAGCUUUUGAAACAUCGAAUCCCGUUUAUCAACGACAAAGACAAUUCGUUACAGAACCGUCAUUUAAAACAUUCAAAACAGUUAACACUUCGUAUGCUCGUACUUAUCAAGAUGUAGAAAAUUCAAAUGAAGAGACAUUAGUUGAUCAUACUUCGUUUGGACAGGAGGUAUCGUUUCAGCCAAGAAUAGAUCGGAGAACUAACGAGGCAACGAGCCAACAACGUACUGAGCCCGAAGAAAUAUCAUCGAACGCACGAACGGAUGAUGGUAUGUUUGUAAACAGUCCUUUUAGAAGGCGGAUACGUUCGUUAUCACCGUCACAACUUUAUCAUCAAGAACAAUUCGUCGAUAUGGCUUUCAAAGAUUUGCAAGGAGUUUCCAUGUACGAUAUAGACAAAGCACCUGUGAACGUAGAGGAAUGCAACGAUAGAAAGAAUAAGGAUUAUUAUUUAUCAGAAACUAACAUUUAUCCUGCUCAAACUUUAAACAAUGAAGAAUUAUUUCAUCAAGAUUACGAAAGAAAAACAAGAAGGACAAGAAGUGCGGAUAGUACAUCGUCGGAUCUAUCAGCGAGUGAUUCGAACGACAGAAGAAGAAACCGAUCUACAUUGCGAUCUCUUUUGGAAGGUCGCGAUCGAGAUGAGAGUGAUAAUAAUAGCAUUGGUAUUCCGAUUUCGCAAAGUGAAAACAUCGAGAAAGCUUUCGACGUUAUUUCUGAUAAAUCUCAAGAAAGGAACAGCGUCGAUUCUUACGUCUUAACGAUGAAAGAAUCAGAUGCUUCCACCGAAUCAACAAGUACUUCAACGGAGGAUGAAACCUCGAAGGAUUGGAGUAGCGAAGAAGGAAUCAAAUCGAGAAAUAAUCAAACGAUUUUAUCCAAACGAGAGGAAUUAGUUCAAAACGACAAUGAUUCGAAUUUAAACAGCGAAAGUUCUGAUGCAGUUGACAAAGCAAAAAAUAAAACAGAAUUACGUAGAAAAUCGAUCGUUACCAUUAUUUCGGACGAGGACAUUCUUAUGAACGAAUUAUUAGUGUCCUCGGGUGAAUCGUUGGAAAUUAAUUAUAGAAUUGAUAGGAGAUUGCACGAUACUCCGACGAUUUCAUCACCCGAACAUUCGAAAGUUAUAGUCAAAUCUGAAUCAGAAUUUAUUAAUUCAAUGGUUUGUAAUGAUUAUUUGAACGUAUUUGGUUCACCGAGACGAGAUCUUCGAAGUUCAAAUUUAUCACCGAUUUUCAACAAGGAAGUUAAUGAAAUAUUGCGAGAUGUGAAGGAAGAAGUUCCUUCCGUGUUUCUCGAUCAAUCUGUGACUUAUCAAACUUUAGAAACAAGAAAGCCUGACAGAUUAGACGACGCCAUCGAGUCAGCAACAACUUUGUUAAACAAAACUUCAGAAUAUAUCGAUAAUUCUAGAAACAUUGAAUCCAAAAUGGAUUGGUCUGUUUCGGAAGAUAUCGCUAAAGAAAAUACUACAAAUAUUGCGUUUACUAAGAUACCUGUUCCUUCGGAAAGUUUCACAAAAUUAGACGAAAUUAGAGAUAAACAUAUAGAGAAUAAGGAGGCGCCUGCGAUUCUAAAAAUCGAAAAACAACCUGCAGAAAAUACAGAAAACGUUAGAAAGAUGUCAUCUAGGGUACUUCGUAGUACAACGAAAUCCAGAAACAUUUCUAAUAAAUCAAGCAUGAAUCAACAUUCGGAAAAAGUAAUAGAUAAACAGAAACCUAUCGUACAGCAGUGUUUCAAUCAACUCGAGAGUAAAGACUGGGAAGUAACGAUAAAAGGACUUAAAUCUUUAUCUCAAUUGGCUAAACAACAUCCUGAAUAUUUGGAUCUUAAUAUCGGUGGUACGAUAGGUCGAUUAUUAGGUCGUCACAUUAAAAAUCUUCGUUCGCAAGUAUCACGUGCUGCUUGUAUAGCUGCAGGCGAUAUUUUUAGUUGUCAAAUUCGUGGUAUAGAUCAGGAUAUCGAUGAUAUCGUUGGACCGUUGCUUCAUAGAACAGCAGAUACGAAUCGUUUUCUACGCGCUGAUAGUAAUGCAGCGUUAGAUCGAAUGGUCGAAUCGCUUCCUCCACAUAAAACUAUCGGUAUUAUUGUAUAUCGUGGUGCAAGUCAUCAAAAUGCAAUUGUAAGAGCAGCCACAGCGAGAUUAUUAUUAUCGAUCGUAGAUCGUAUUGGAGCUGAACACGCUAUGAUGUUACCUCGUGAUGUUAGAGAUAAAUUGCUUGGUUCAGGAGCUAAAUUAUUGAUGGACGGAAAUUUAGAUGCAAGAAAUCACGCAAAGAAGAUUUUCCGACGAUUAAUGAAUUGUGAGGGUUUUCAAAAAGCUUUGACCGACGCCGUACCAGAAACAACCUUGAGGCAUAUCGAUAAAACUUUGAAAUCGCUUUAGUCGUAUGAUAAGCGAUUCUCACAUGUCACGAAUUAAUGUUUAAUAACAUAAAAAGAAGGAUCUGAAUAUUAUAAAUAUUUAUUAAAACUAACUUCUUAAUCCUGCACCGUACCGGUGCAAUAGGUACCUACAGUUUGUCAACUUUUGUGAUGAGAAUUUGUCAAUGAGUUUUAUAGAAUUGGUCUAAUCAAUAUAAUUGAUAACGAGCGUUUCAAGAUCAAAUCAAAAAACGAUAUGAUUUAACUGUCAUUAUUUUAACACAUCUUUGACAAUAGUUUUCACUUGUAAAGAAAUUUUUUAAAUUUUGCAUACAAUGGAGAUUGAUGUUAUUAAGAUCGAGGAUAAAGAUUUUGAGAAAUUCAAGCAGCUGUAUGAUAACAAUGACGAUUGAAAAUUAGAUUAUAACAAGCCCGAUUUGUUCGCUUUGGUAAAGACUGUUCCAGUUUUUAAUGGAAAAAGUUGGAACAAGAUUUCUUGAAGUUAUACGAUAUUUCACAGGAUCCUGACUAUAGGAAUAUUUUGGAUACUCGUAUGAUUGAAUCUCGAAAGACAUAGGAUUUUUUAAUUGAGAUAAUGACAUAGAAUAUUAUUUUAUAUGAUUCGAAUCUUUAGUAUCUUGUGCAUCUCCAUUGAAAAAUAGAGAUUUUAUAUUAAAACAUUCGUGACUUGAGAUCGGAGAACAAUUCAUCUUAAAUCAUUUUUAUUUGUUACAAGGACUACUCAGCUAGAAAACAUUUUAUUGAAACGACAUCUCAUUCAAUUUAUUUAAUAUUUGCGUACGCGAAAUCAAAGAUCUUUUUAGGCCAAGAAAAAAUGCUCGAUUUUUAUUUAUAACAAAAAUGAUAUCGAUACAACAACAAUUAUUCCAAGAGUGGUCGAAAUUUAAUCGUUAUUAUGUACAUUUAUUUUUACUCGAUUCCCACUUUUCUCAUUCAUGGCCUCCGCCCCAAUACGUUACCUUUCAUACAUCCUUUACUAUAAAUCAUUUGAUGUAUGAUCGUUAAUCUAAACGUCUUUCUAAUCGGCCGACUUUUAUUGGCCAUCACUUUUUGAUAUUUAUGUCUUUAACAUAUGUGUAUAUAUAUACAUAUAUAUAUACAUACACAUAUAUAUAUAUAUUUCCUUUUUUAUAUUAUUAUCUAAAAUACGUAUCUAUUCGUAUUUAACACAGUACCAAUGGAAAUUCAAUGAUUUAUAAUCGUAAAAGAAAUUUAUUCGCCAGUGAAAGAAUCCAUUAACGAAAGAACAAUAAGUGCAAUAUGCAGUAUGCAGUACAAUGGUUUGUAAGAUGAAUUUUUUUAAGUAAAUAUAUCGAACAAUACGUCGAAUCUCGUUUUGUCUACUCUGAAAUAUGUUAUUAUUUUAUCUAACCCAUGUAAUAAGUAAACAAAUGAAAUAUUCUUCAUAAUUAUUUGACAAGAUGAAUACGGUAAAGUUAUUCGUAUUUAUUUGAUAUUAUUACAGAUAUAAAUUUUAAUAUCAAUUUUAAUUGUAGCCAAACGACGAAUCGAUAAAUUACAAUUUGAUCUCAGAAGAAGAGAUUACCGAUGAAAGAAUCAUCGAAUUAACUAUAAUUACUAUAGAAAAUAUUGUAAGUUAUUUAUAAAUUAUUAUACGUUAUGAAAAUAUUUCAUAAGAGUAUAUUUUACAGAUAAGAAACGAAGAUACAAAUGUGAUCAUAUCUGUGGAACAUAAUUCAAAUAUAUUGGGAGAAAGUAAUCCGAUCAAAAUCGAAGCUGGUAUCAAAGAACCACCACCUGUAUAUGAUGUUAAUUUUUCUAUUCAAAUUCCAGUAUUUAUUUCCGAUCGAAAUGCCAUUGAUCGUCUAGUUUCCACUCCAUUUUUAAUUACAGUAUCAAGCGUCAACAAAGACGAAAAUGUUACGCCUACUGUUGUGGAUACUGCGAGGACAAAAAAAUCGCGAAUUCCUUCUAAAAAGGAUUUUAAAUUAAAAAUUAUUGGAUUGUGCAAUGUCGACCUCAUGCCAAUUUUAUUAGGUAUCACCCGGUAUAUAUAAAGUUAUAUGAACGAUCAAUCAAAAAUCAUAAAUUAAUUUUUAUAUUACAGGAGAGGAUUUAUUUAUGGAAAAAUUAAUUUUAGAAACAGCACAAUUUACAUUCGAUGGUAAUGCUGUGUCGUGGCCUAAUCUUCCAUGUUUAACGAUCAAAAUUAAACAAGAGCAAAAACCAUUUUUUCCUUCUGAUUUAGAAUUUAAUUUUCUAAACAUUACCAUAGAAAGUAUUUUUAAUCCAUUAUCUUCGUUCACUGAUAAUAUGGAUUACAAAGCUGGUACUAUUCUUUAUGGUGAACAAGAAGUAGGCAUAUUUCUUUGAUAUCAUAAUAAUAAAUCCAUUUUUUUUCUAACAUGUUUCGAAUAAAUUAGUAAGGUGAAAAAAACUUCUUUUCUUUUUCUUUUUUUUUAAUUAUCGAUCGAAGGAUCCAGAAGCGAUAAUACACGGUGAUGGCAAAUUGAUUCAUGAUCGAGAUAUAGAAAAAAGUAAAUGUUGGAAAUCUUUGUCACAUUUAACAAGUCGCGCUAGAUUGUCGAAAUACAAACUAGCUUGUAAUUACAACGAUGUAAAGAACACACUUGCAGAGGAAUUAAAAUUGCAGGUAUAUGGAAUACAUAAUUUAACAAACAAA